Molecule: ribosomal RNA, 497 nt
Filed under: uncultured bacterium
Lineage: Bacteria
Description: partial 16S ribosomal RNA
Rfam family: Bacterial small subunit ribosomal RNA
Source: RNAcentral
GAUGAACGCUGGCGGCGUGCCUAAUACAUGCAAGUCGAGCGAACAGACGAGGAGCUUGCUCCUCUGACGUUAGCGGCGGACGGGAGAGUAACACGUGGAUAACCUACCUAUAAGACUGGGAUAACUUCGGGAAACCGGAGCUAAUACCGGAUAAUAUAUUGAACCGCAUUGUUCAAUAGUGAAAGUCGGUUUUGCUGUCACUAAUAGAUGGAUCUGCGCCGCAUUAGCUAGUUGGUAAGGUAACGGCUUACCAAGGCAACGAUGCGUAGCCGACCUGGGAGGGUGAUCGGCCACACUGGAACUGAGACACGGUCCAGACUCCUACGGGAGGCAGCAGUAGGGAAUCUUCCGCAAUGGGCGAAAGCCUGACGGAGCAGCGCCGCGUGAGUGAUGAAGGUCUUCGGAUCGUAAAACUCUGUUAUUAGGGAAGAACAAAUGUGUAAGUAACCAUGCACGUCUUGACGGUACCUAAUCAGAAAGCCACGGCUAACUACGUG